UCGCAAGAACGGGAAGAAUAAGUGAAAGCGAAUACCUUUCAUGAUGACGGUACUGUUUGUAAGCUCCGGCUAACUCCGUGCCAGCAGCCGCGGUAAUACGGGGGGAGCAAGCGUUGUUCGGAUUUACUGGGCGUAAAGGGCGCGUAGGCGGCCACGACAAGUCACUUGUGAAAUCUCCGGGCUUAACUCGGAACGGUCAAGUGAUACUGUCGGGCUAGAGUGCAGAAGGGGCAACUGGAAUUCUCGGUGUAGCGGUGAAAUGCGUAGAUAUCGAGAGGAACACCUGCGGCGAAGGCGGGUUGCUGGGCUUGACACUGACGCUGAGGCGCGAAAGCCAGGGGAGCGAACG
RNAcentral lists this ribosomal RNA (349 nucleotides) under uncultured soil bacterium. RNAcentral describes it as "bacterial SSU rRNA". It matches the Rfam family "Bacterial small subunit ribosomal RNA", at positions 432 to 774 of the family's 1533-position model. The record is from RNAcentral.